RNAcentral lists this ribosomal RNA (437 nucleotides) under Wolbachia pipientis. RNAcentral's name for it is "bacterial SSU rRNA". It matches the Rfam family "Bacterial small subunit ribosomal RNA", at positions 992 to 1428 of the family's 1533-position model. The record is from RNAcentral. Lineage: Bacteria; Pseudomonadati; Pseudomonadota; Alphaproteobacteria; Rickettsiales; Anaplasmataceae.
CAUACCUAUUCGAAGGGAUAGGGUCGGUUUGGCCGGAUUUCACACAGGUGUUGCAUGGCUGUCGUCAGCUCGUGUCGUGAGAUGUUGGGUUGAGUCCCGCAACGAGCGCAACCCUCAUCCUUAGUUACCAUCAGGUUAUGCUGGGGACUUUAAGGAAACUGCCAGUGAUAAACUGGAGGAAGGUGGGGAUGAUGUCAAGUCAUCAUGGCCCUUAUGGAGUGGGCUACACACGUGCUACAAUGGUGAUUACAAUGGGCUGCAAGGUCGCAAGGCUGAGCUAAUCCUAAAAAAUCAUCUCAGUUCGGAUUGUUCUCUGCAACUCGAGAGCAUGAAGUUGGAAUCGCUAGUAAUCGUGGAUCAGCAUGCCACGGUGAAUACGUUCUCGGGUCUUGUACACACUGCCCGUCACGCCAUGGGAAUUGGUUUCACUCGAAGCU